RNAcentral lists this ribosomal RNA (495 nucleotides) under uncultured bacterium. RNAcentral's name for it is "partial 16S ribosomal RNA". It matches the Rfam family "Bacterial small subunit ribosomal RNA", at positions 28 to 507 of the family's 1533-position model. The record is from RNAcentral.
GACGAACGCUGGCGGCGUGCCUAAUACAUGCAAGUAGAACGCUGAAGGAGGAGCUUGCUUCUCUGGAUGAGUUGCGAACGGGUGAGUAACGCGUAGGUAACCUGCCUGGUAGCGGGGGAUAACUAUUGGAAACGAUAGCUAAUACCGCAUAAUAGUAGAUGUUGCAUGACAUUUGCUUAAAAGGUGCAAUUGCAUCACUACCAGAUGGACCUGCGUUGUAUUAGCUAGUUGGUGAGGUAACGGCUCACCAAGGCAACGAUACAUAGCCGACCUGAGAGGGUGAUCGGCCAAACUGGGACUGAGACACGGCCCAGACUCCUACGGGAGGCAGCAGUAGGGAAUCUUCGGCAAUGGACGGAAGUCUGACCGAGCAACGCCGCGUGAGUGAAGAAGGGUUUCGGAUCGUAAAGCUCUGUUGUAAGAGAAGAACGAGUGUGAGAGUGGAAAGUUCACACUGUGACGGUAUCUUACCAGAAAGGGACGGCUAACUACGUG